This 486-nucleotide ribosomal RNA is filed under the name uncultured bacterium. Its description in RNAcentral is "partial 16S ribosomal RNA". It matches the Rfam family "Bacterial small subunit ribosomal RNA", at positions 29 to 507 of the family's 1533-position model. The record is from RNAcentral.
AUUGAACGCUGGCGGCAUGCUUUACACAUGCAAGUCGAGCGGCAGCGCGGGGGCAACCCUGGCGGCGAGCGGCGAACGGGUGAGUAAUGCAUCGGAACGUAUCCUCGAGUGGGGGAUAACCCAGCGAAAGUUGGGCUAAUACCGCACGAGCUCUGAGGAGGAAAGCGGGGGACCUGCGAGGGCCUCGCGCUGGAGGAGCGGCCGAUGUCCGAUUAGCUAGUUGGUGGGGUAAAGGCUUACCAAGGCGACGAUCGGUAGCUGGUCUGAGAGGAUGAUCAGCCACACUGGGACUGAGACACGGCCCAGACUCCUACGGGAGGCAGCAGUGGGGAAUUUUGGACAAUGGGGGCAACCCUGAUCCAGCCAUGCCGCGUGAGUGAAGAAGGCCUUCGGGUUGUAAAGCUCUUUCGGACGGAACGAAAUGGGCGGGACUAAUACUCCUGUCUGAUGACGGUACCGUAAGAAGAAGCACCGGCUAACUACGUG